This is a long non-coding RNA of Cucurbita moschata (crookneck pumpkin), 904 nucleotides long. RefSeq lists it as uncharacterized. The record is from RefSeq and is a predicted model, not a curated record. Lineage: Eukaryota; Viridiplantae; Streptophyta; Magnoliopsida; Cucurbitales; Cucurbitaceae. The transcript has 3 exons.
CCGGAGAAGUUCAAACCUAUAAAAGGACCUUCAAGGAACUUGGAAAGACUACUAAGGACAAGAACCCUUAGGCAAGAUAGGAACCGUUAACUUUUGGGGAUGAAAGUUCUUAAGAGGGGGAGGUUACGGAAGACCCCAAGAUAAAAACACUCGAGUAGGUUUAAAGAGGCUAAACAAGUUUCCCUAACUCGAGUUCCAUGGUCCUUGGAGGGAAGAUUUUUUUAAAUUCCAAUUGGAGACUAGUAUCGGGUUCUUCAAAAUUAAAGAGCCAUAGUUAAACAUUUUGCCCCAAAUCAAUUCCUACAACUUCUAAAUGAGUUUCCUAACGAGUUUCAUAAAGGAUCAGAGAGUUGAGCCCAAACAAGUUUCCUUAAUUCAUGUUCCAUGGCCCAUGAAAUGAGGAAUCUUUGAAAUUCCAAUUGGAGGCUACAAGAAAAUUCGUUCGUCCAAACCAGUUCCAUUGACUUUUGGGCUGCCAAAGAUGAGUUUCCAUGAAAACCACGAAGCUAAAGGAGCGUCUGAAUCAAAGGGAAUCGAAGAAAGUUCAUUACGGGCCAAUUUGGAGUAAUCCAAAGUUCAGUACCUUACUCAUUAGCUUCGUGGCAAUGAGAGAGAAAUUUUUCAUGAAGAAAUUGGAAGCUAAAGAUGUCCAUAUCGUUCUACCCAAUAAACUUAAGAAUCAGAUGGAAAAUGAUUAAGAAGUUGAGAGAUCAAACUUGAAAUUGGGAGCAUCCACACUAUUUCUUGAACCGGAGAAAAGAAGAUCAAGAGAUUUCAUGAAGGAAUCGGGGUGAGAUAAGGUCGUAUGGCCCCAACCAAUAAUAAUUUUUUUUUAUUUUGAUCCCAUAAGGAUUAGUUUUCUGCAAACUUCUAUGGUUAAUAACUUGAGCUACAUGCAUGCCAA